Long non-coding RNA from Strigops habroptila (Kakapo), 2374 nucleotides. RefSeq lists it as uncharacterized. Lineage: Eukaryota; Metazoa; Chordata; Aves; Psittaciformes; Psittacidae. The transcript has 2 exons. The record is from RefSeq and is a predicted model, not a curated record.
CAGUAAAAUUGAGUCAAAUACUUGAUUCCAAUAUGGAUUUCCUGCUAUAUAUUAAGAAUUAAGUAGAGAGCUGGUUGUAGCAGAUUUAUUUGUCAGAGCGAGAUCUUUAAAGACACACCUCACUGUGUGAUUCAUUUUUAUUAUUAGUUAUUUAUCCUCCACUACAUAAUCUUUUCAGGGAGAUAGCUAACAUGGUUUGAAUGUACAUUCAACCCUAGGAAAAUAAAACUCAUAGGACUCACCUUCCAUUUCCAUUCAUUCUUUCAUCUGUUAACCUCAAAUUUGUUUCAGUCUGUGUCAUCAGAUACAAUGAUGUCAUUCUUACACUUUAUUAUGUCAUUCGAUGUUUCUUUUCUGGAACUGAAUUCUGUUUGUUGCUGGAAAACACCAUGAAUUCAGAAAGAGUUUGGAAAAAAAUCUUUUGUAGUAACUAUCUGUAGUUAUAUUUUGUGACCAUGUCACACCAGAGCCAGCUUAUGUUCAUGUGUUCUUGAGAACAAAGCAAGUACUGAGAACAUCAUCACUGAUUUAUAGGUUAAGCCUAAGUGGUUUCUAGGCAAUGUCCUAAAGUUAUGAGAGCUGCUUUUUUGUACUACAUGACAAAACAAAGAGGGUUUAAGGAAGGAGCCUGAAGGAAGAUACUGCUACUCUAGGCAUUAUCGUAGUUGCUUAGUUAAGUCCCAGUAAAUAAGGAAAAGACUGAAAACCAUGCAUUUUAUCAGUCCUGCCAGUACAAAGCAAAGUGCUUGGGUGAAUCCAAGCCUCAAAACAUACUUUCUGGAGCUGAUCCACUAUUCUAAUGGAGACAGCAACUCUUAGGAGUGAAAAAAUGUGAUUAUUGGAGAAAUGACGCUGCAUUGUAAGCAGCACCCCUGAUUUAGCUGUCCUGGUGCACAGCAACACUGCCCCAAGCAGACAGACUUGGUCCAUGCACAUUAGAUGCUUCUUCCUCACUGAUUUCAGCCAUGCUUGACUGGAAAGCUGUUUCUUUCAAAAAAGCCUUUCUGACACAAAUAUGUACAUAUCUAUGUAUGCAUCUUAGAGAAAAGGCACCCUAAGGAGCUAAUUGUGAUCUUGGGACCAUAUACACAGGCAGAAGGCUUACCGUAGGCGCUUUGCUCUUUGAAAAAGUUUGUUCUUUUUUUGCUGUAGGCGUUGAUGACUAAACUAUUUGCAUUGAACAACAGCAAGACUGCAGAAAAAUUGCUAGAUACAAAAGAGAAUAUUAUGUUGUCAUUUUGUGGAAAAUCUGGCUUCUAACCUGCAGAAUGCAAUGAGAAUCUAGAUUGUGAAACAUCGUUGGAAUGAUCCUAAAUGUAGCCAUACAAGUUCACACACAGCUCUUACAAGUCAAAGAGUUAAAAUUAAGAAUAAACGCUAUCAAACAUAAUAAUGAGUAAUGGGUUGGAGGAAGCAGCAUAGGCGAUACAGUAAAGUGGCAUUUUCUGGUUUGAAUGUAAAUUCAAGAAAUCUAUCUUCAUAAGAGAUUGUUUUUGGAAGUUCAAUGUGUAUAUUUUGUUGUUAGAGCACCUAGUAUACUUGGAAGUCAUCCAUGGAACAUCCUGAUGACAAGUUUAUUUGUCUUGAUCUGCUUGUCUAAAGACUCCUUAAAGCUUCAGCUGAAUACAUUCUUCUGAAAAGAGGAAAGCAGUGCUGCUCUGUACUGGUAAAAAGAACAGUGUGUGUAUUGUCAUGCCUGGUGGUACUACAGGCUUCCUACAAUGAAAGAUACAGUCUGAGUUUGGGGAAGCCUGUGUAUCCUAAGAUGUAGAUAUAAAAGUUGUCCAGCAGGAGGACAUAAAUAGGGACCAGGAUUUCGGGAAAAGAUCAAUUUGUCUGGUGGUCCUGCAGGAUAAGUUGCAGCAAAGAGACAGCUUCACUGCAGCAAGGAGGAAAGAGUUGCAGUCUAUGAUAAGCUGCAAAGGAAAGAAAUGUACAUGGUCUUGCUGAGGUCUAUGAGACCUCAGAGACCUGAGAGACAAGAGGGAGGGUAGGAGAAUAAACAGGAUUUUAUUGAAAACCUACUCAGUACACGCAGAGUUACUGCUUGGCCAGGUUCUAAUGCCUGGGAUUGACAAAAACCCCUUUGGUUAGAGGAAUGUAUGUAUUGGAUAUUGGUAUUUUUUGUUCCGUUUGUGUCUGCCAGUUGCUGAAAUACUGAGUUUGCGCAAACAAUAAAGUACUGCAUCAUUAGGGGUAUUUCAUUUAUUUACAGGUGUAUGUAGUACAACAAAAUGCUGGUGACUGAAGCACAGUGAUACUUUUUGGAACUGCCCUUGGGCUCCAUGCUGGAUCCCUCUUAAAUACACUUUCCUCUGCGUUUUGUUCACUAUUUGCUCUUUGUGUACUCUUGAGAAUAAACUGAAUGACAUAA